Molecule: ribosomal RNA, 484 nt
Filed under: uncultured bacterium
Lineage: Bacteria
Description: partial 16S ribosomal RNA
Rfam family: Bacterial small subunit ribosomal RNA
Source: RNAcentral
AUUGAACGCUGGCGGCAGGCCUAACACAUGCAAGUCGAGCGGAUGAAGGGAGCUUGCUCCUGGAUUCAGCGGCGGACGGGUGAGUAAUGCCUAGGAAUCUGCCUGGUAGUGGGGGAUAACGUCCGGAAACGGGCGCUAAUACCGCAUACGUCCUGAGGGAGAAAGUUGGGGAUCUUCGGACCUCACGCUAUCAGAUGAGCCUAGGUCGGAUUAGCUAGUUGGUGGGGUAAAGGCCUACCAAGGCGACGAUCCGUAACUGGUCUGAGAGGAUGAUAAGUCACACUGGAAGUGAGCCACGGUCCAGACUCCUACGGGAGGCAGCAGUGGGGAAUAUUGGACAAUGGGCGAAAGCCUGAUCCAGCCAUGCCGCGUGUGUGAAGAAGGUCUUCGGAUUGUAAAGCACUUUAAGUUGGGAGGAAGGGCAGUAAGUUAAUACCUUGCUGUUUUGACGUUAACAACAGAAUAAGCACCGGCUAACUUCGUG